UACGUAGGGUGCAAGCGUUAAUCGGAAUUACUGGGCGUAAAGCGUGCGUAGACGGUUAUUUAAGUCGGGUGUGAAAGCCCCGGGCUCAACCUGGGAAUUGCAUUCGAGACUGAAUAGCUAGGGUACGGUAGAGGGAAGCGGAAUUUCCGGUGUAGCGGUGAAAUGCGUAGAUAUCGGAAGGAACAUCAGUGGCGAAAGCGGCUUCCUGGACCAGCUCCGACGUUCAGGCACGAAAGCGUGGGGAGCAAACAGG
RNAcentral lists this ribosomal RNA (253 nucleotides) under uncultured bacterium. RNAcentral's name for it is "partial 16S ribosomal RNA". It matches the Rfam family "Bacterial small subunit ribosomal RNA", at positions 524 to 776 of the family's 1533-position model. The record is from RNAcentral.